This 55-nucleotide ribosomal RNA is filed under the name Thrips flavus. RNAcentral's name for it is "partial 5.8S ribosomal RNA". The record is from RNAcentral. Lineage: Eukaryota; Metazoa; Arthropoda; Insecta; Thysanoptera; Thripidae.
UGUGAACUGCAGGACACUUGAACCUCGACAUUUUGAACGCAAAUGGCGGCCCUCG